Long non-coding RNA from Brassica napus (rape), 1612 nucleotides. RefSeq lists it as uncharacterized. NCBI's taxonomy places the organism in Eukaryota, Viridiplantae, Streptophyta, Magnoliopsida, Brassicales, Brassicaceae. The record is from RefSeq and is a predicted model, not a curated record. The transcript has 2 exons.
UAAAAUUUAAAAUGUAACACUUGUAAUGAUGAAACAAUAAAGUGUAUUAACAACUUUUAUAUUUGCUUUAUUAGAGUUUGGAUAAAAAUAUUAAAAUAAUAUAUCAAUACUAAUAAUAGUUUCGAUUACAAGAAUAAAGGAUAAUAUUUACGCUAAAAUAUAAAUUUCGGGUUUUCGGGCCGGCCCUAGCCCAAACGGGCUGAAGCCCAAAAUACCCAAAGCCCAAAUGGGCUUAGCCCGAAAGGCCCAAUUUUUUUGGGCUUAUAAAGCGAAGCCCAAGCCCGUUAAUUUUUAGGGUUGGGCGGGCUCGGACUACGGGCUUCGGCCCUAAUUGACAUGUCUAUGUCUGAGUGUAAAAUUAAUGUUUGAGUGUAUUUUAAUUUCUAUUUUAAUUAGAUCAAAAAAUUUUAUAUUUUAAUUUAUGUUUGAUUAAACCAAAGGAUAAAAAUGAUAAUUAGAGUUUUGAUAUAAAAAAAACGAAAAAUAAUAUUUUUUUACUUCAAGUUCUAAACCCUAAAUUCCAACAUUUGACAUUUACAAUAAAUUAAGUUAAACUUACGAUUUGGAUAGAUAGUGUCCAAACCCUAAACUUAAUUCAGUUUUCUAAACCCUAAACAUGAAAUUCAAAACUUCUAUAUUUUCAUAAUAUAGAUUACAUCAAUCUUAAACUUUAUAUCAAAAUUUAAUCAUUUAAAGAUCUAAUAUAAAAUUUAAAAUCUAAACCUUAAACACUAAAUCUUAAAUUUACACCCUAAAUAUAAUAUCUUAAACCCUACGUACAAAAGUCCUAAAUCUAAUCUUUUCAUAUAAUAUAAUUACUAAACUAAAACCUAUUGAAAUUAAAUCAUAAUUAUAAAUCCAAAAUGUAACAAUUGUUUCUAUAUACAUAUAUUAUAAAUCAUUCGUUUUUUUGGAUCAAAAUAAGAUCAUCAUAUAUAUUUUUUAAAAUAAGUAAGAAACGUGGAUUGUGGUGUUCAUAAAAAAAAGAAGUAAGAAAAGUGCUGUUAGCCAAUGAAAUAAGAAGGCGAGGAUUGCUCAACUUUUAAUCUGAACCGUUGAUAGAAGUUUAUCAAACGAUGCAGAUCUGUCUCCUAUCUAUUCAUUUAUUUUCCACUCUUUUCUUCUCUGCUGGUGCUAAUCUUCUCAUCUCUUUUUUUUUUUUUCUCUUUCUUCUCCGCUGGUGUCAAUAUCCUCAUCUUUUUUUCUUGUUAAUCAAUCCUCAUCUAUUUCUUCUCCGGGUUGAUUUAUGAGAGAUGCUAUUGUUGAGUAAGCGAGCAGAGACUCUGGAGGUCGUGCGCCGUAGAAGGUGUAGGAGGCUGAAGAGGUUGAUGGUGGUGGUCUCGGAAUAAACAGUGUUGGUCUCGACGUCGACAAUGGUGACAGCGAGGUGGAGGAGGCUGAAGAAGCUUAAAUAUGGUGGUCUUGGCUGGUGGUCUCGGCGUCAACAAGGAGUGUGGCGGAGAUUGAAGAAGAACGUGGUUUAGUUAGGGUUAGUUAGGUUUAGUUAGGGUUAGUUAAUAAACUGGGUUUGUAUGUAAACCAGUUUUUAUAAUAAACCAAUAUCAUUUAUAAACCAAAAAUUUAAUAAUAAAUAAUUAUAUUCUUAAACCAA